AGAUGAAGCUUACUUCAAACACUGAAAAAGAAGCAUGAAAAACAAAGCAUCCAGGACUCAAAAGAAAAUAACUCAAAUGAUUUGAGAAAAAAAAGCCACCAUACAAACAAGAUUGAGAUUUUAUUGCUUAAAUCAUUACUGUAAUACGUAGUGCAAGAUACUGGAGGCAAAAAUAGGUAAAACAGGCUUUUAUUGCCUUACAAAUAUGUGCUCUUAAACAACUCGCACUGAAAAAAGAACAAACAAAACUGGAGGAAGGUACGUUGUAGAGAGAGGACAUCAUCUCAUUAACCAAAACUUCUGCUAAAGACCAAGGAAAAGCUCCAUUCUCCAUCUUCCUCGAACCAAAAUUGUUAAUCAAAAUCAGGACAGUAACACUUGUUCACGACCUGCGUCCAAAGGCAGAGCAAGAUUACUAUAGUUGCAACCACUGAAUAUUAAUAAUGCAGCCAUAUCAAUCAACAUUAUUCACAAACCAUCAAUGGUCAAUUCUAAUUCCAACCCGUUGAUGGCAUAGUAGAUUGACCUAUCUCUUUCUCUUCUUUUCUAUCCAAACCAUUUGGACUGUUAUCAUUAUAGGAAAUGUUAUGAUCAUAACAUCUAGGUCUACCAAUGGCAAAUAUUGUUACACUUCUAAAUGGAUGAAUGAAAAUGAAAACAUGUGAAAGUAAUACGCAAACAAUCAGUAGAGCGCCAGGAAAACAUGCUUGUGAAUUCAUGGUACACUACACUAUCAUUAAUUUGCUUCUGAGCUCUCCAAUCGCAACCCAGAAAAGUAUUUAUAAACUUAUAGUUUUACCUCCCAGCAGCUAUAAAGCAAAGAUGGUGAUAAAAUUACAUCUCACACCCCAAAGCAUCAAUAUAUACUUCCAACCACAUAAAUUAUAUAUUGAAAUACGGAUAAGUAAAAGGGCAACUCUUGCAACAAAACAAAAAUUGUAGACUUUACAUUGAAAACUAAACUGACAUGCAGCUGAAAGGCUAUAGUGUAUGCUCUCCACAAAGGUCACGAGCCAGCAAAAUUCUCAGCAACUGCGCAAAACCCAACUG
RNAcentral lists this long non-coding RNA (1050 nucleotides) under Fragaria vesca (wild strawberry). RNAcentral's name for it is "long non-coding RNA (FVES_LNC001186)". Lineage: Eukaryota; Viridiplantae; Streptophyta; Magnoliopsida; Rosales; Rosaceae. The record is from RNAcentral.